Non-coding RNA from Schistosoma curassoni, 72 nucleotides. The record is from Rfam. Lineage: Eukaryota; Metazoa; Platyhelminthes; Trematoda; Strigeidida; Schistosomatidae.
GCAGGUGUAGUUUAUUUAUAAAAUAUUAGUUUUGUAAACUAAUGAUAGUGUAUGAUGUGUCACUUAUCUGUU